RNAcentral lists this ribosomal RNA (466 nucleotides) under uncultured bacterium. Its description in RNAcentral is "partial 16S ribosomal RNA". It matches the Rfam family "Bacterial small subunit ribosomal RNA", at positions 28 to 507 of the family's 1533-position model. The record is from RNAcentral.
GAUGAACGCUGGCGGCGUGCUUAACACAUGCAAGUCGAACGAUGAAGCCCAGCUUGCUGGGUGGGUUAGUGGCGAACGGGUGAGUAACACGUGAGUAACCUGCCCUUAACUCUGGGAUAAGCCUGGGAAACUGGGUCUAAUACCGGAUAGGAGCGUCCACCGCAUGGUGGGUGUUGGAAAGAUUUAUCGGUUUUGGAUGGACUCGCGGCCUAUCAGCUUGUUGGUGAGGUAAUGGCUCACCAAGGCGACGACGGGUAGCCGGCCUGAGAGGGUGACCGGCCACACUGGGACUGAGACACGGCCCAGACUCCUACGGGAGGCAGCAGUGGGGAAUAUUGCACAAUGGGCGCAAGCCUGAUGCAGCGACGCCGCGUGAGGGAUGACGGCCUUCGGGUUGUAAACCUCUUUCAGUAGGGAAGAAGCGAAAGUGACGGUACCUGCAGAAGAAGCACCGGCUAACUACGUG